RNAcentral lists this ribosomal RNA (1620 nucleotides) under human gut metagenome. Its description in RNAcentral is "bacterial LSU rRNA". It matches the Rfam family "Bacterial large subunit ribosomal RNA", at positions 1150 to 2856 of the family's 2925-position model. The record is from RNAcentral.
CGAGUGAUCUUGCGCGGAAAAUUUAACGGGGCUAAGCAUGUAACCGAAGCUUAGGGUUUACAGCAAUGUAAGCGGUAGGGGAGCGUCGAAUACGGGGUGAAGUCAUACCGAAAGGAAUGGUGGACUGUAUUCGAGUGAGAAUGCCGGAAUGAGUAGCGAGAAUUAUGUGGGAAUCAUAAUGGCCGAAAAUCUAAGGUUUCUUGGGGAAGGUUCGUCCGCCCAAGGUAAGCCGGGAGCUAAGGCGAGGCCGCAAGGCGUAGUCGAUGCACAUACGGUAGAAAUUCCGUAGCCGGCUCAAUCGUUAAGCAUACUGACACAUGAGAGUAGCUCUACCGGGCGUUGGUUGCCCCGGGCGUAAGCGAGCCGAAUGAGGCGAAGUGAGUAAAUCUUGUGGCGAGAAAAGGUGUGUGUAUUGGUUGGGCUGCCCGUACCGCAAACCGACACAGGUAGAUGAGGAGAAGAUCCUAAGGCCAUCGGGAGAAGGGUUGUUAAGGAACUAGGCAAAUUGACCCCGUAACUUCGGGAGAAGGGGUGCCUACGAGAGUAGGCCGCAGAGAAUCGGCCCAAGCAACUGUUUACCAAAAACACAGGUCUCUGCUAAAUCGAAAGAUGACGUAUAGGGGCUGACGCCUGCCCGGUGCUGGAAGGUUAAGAGGAGGACUUAGCGGAAACGCGAAGGCCCGAAUUGAAGCCCCAGUAAACGGCGGCCGUAACUAUAACGGUCCUAAGGUAGCGAAAUUCCUUGUCAGGUAAGUUCUGACCCGCACGAAAGGCGUAAUGAUUUGGGCACUGUCUCAACAGCCCGCCCGGCGAAAUUGUAGUACCGGUGAAGAUGCCGGUUACCCGCAACUAGACGGAAAGACCCCAUGGAGCUUUACUGCAGCUUAAUACUGAGAUUCGGUAAAUCAUGUACAGGAUAGGUGGGAGACUGAGAAGCCAGGCCGUCAGGUUUGGUGGAGUCGCCCUUGGGAUACCACCCUUGGUUUGCUGGGUUUCUAACCUGCGGCCCUGAAUCGGGUCGGGGGACACUGUUAGGCGGGCAGUUUGACUGGGGCGGUCGCCUCCUAAAAUGUAACGGAGGCGCUCAAAGGUUGGCUCAGCAUGGAUGGAAACCAUGCAAUGAGUGUAAACGUAUAAGCCAGCCUGACUGCGAGACCGACGGGUCGAGCAGAGACGAAAGUCGGAGUUAGUGAUCCGGUGGUAUGUGAGUGGAAAUGCCAUCGCUCAACGGAUAAAAGCUACCCUGGGGAUAACAGGCUGAUCUCCCCCAAGCGUCCACAGCGACGGGGAGGUUUGGCACCUCGAUGUCGGCUCGUCGCAUCCUGGGGCUGAAUUAGGUCCCAAGGGUUUGGCUGUUCGCCAAUUAAAGCGGCACGCGAGCUGGGUUCAGAACGUCGUGAGACAGUUCGGUCCCUAUCUGUUGCGGGCGUAGGAGAUUUGAAGGGAGCUGACCUUAGUACGAGAGGACCGGGUUGGACGUACCUCUGGUGUACCAGUUGUUCUGCCAAGGGCAUGGCUGGGUAGCUACGUACGGACGAGAUAAACGCUGAAGGCAUCUAAGCGUGAAACUCUCCCUGAGAUAAGAUCUCCACUGAGGCUCGACGUAGACUAUGUCGUUGA